GGAAAAAAUAUAUUAAUAUUAAUAUUUUUUUUGUAGUUUGCCCUCUGUAUUAUUUGUUGUUGUUGGGUGAUUAAGGACCUCGUUUAUGAUAUAUUAAGGGAUGCAGAAUGGGAAAAUUAUUCAGAUGACGACUUUGAAGAAUGGAUAGGGGAUGACGAAUGGGACGAUAUGUGUGAUUGGGAUUGGGACCCAUAUAUAAGAGACGAUGACGGCGAUUUCUAUGAUUGGGGUCUGGUGUGGCUGUUCGAGCCGGAACCUGUACCUGUGUAUGAAAAUUGGGACGAUGAACCAUACGUUCCAAUAAUGGUUCCAGAGAUGUCGGAUUGGGACGCAUAUUUAAGAGGCGACGACGAAGCUGAUUGGGGUCUGGUGCAGCUUU
Nylanderia fulva is the source of this 379-nucleotide non-coding RNA. Lineage: Eukaryota; Metazoa; Arthropoda; Insecta; Hymenoptera; Formicidae. The record is from RefSeq and is a predicted model, not a curated record.